Molecule: ribosomal RNA, 253 nt
Filed under: uncultured bacterium
Lineage: Bacteria
Description: partial 16S ribosomal RNA
Rfam family: Bacterial small subunit ribosomal RNA
Source: RNAcentral
UACGUAGGGUGCAAGCGUUGUCCGGAAUUAUUGGGCGUAAAGAGCGUGUAGGCGGCCUGAAAGGUCAGCUGUGAAAACUCGAGGCUCAACCUCGAGACGUCGGUUGAAACCAUCUGGCUAGAGUCCGGAAGAGGAGUGUGGAAUUCCCGGUGUAGCGGUGAAAUGCGCAGAUAUCGGGAAGAACACCCGUGGCGAAGGCGGCACUCUGGGACGGUGCUGACGCUGAGACGCGAAAGCGUGGGGAGCGAACAGG